CUUCAAGAUAGGGGUUGAGGGAGCACAAGAUUUGAGAGAAAUAAUUCAGGGAGAUAAACAGACACCCAGUCUGUGUGAACAUGCACCAGAGGCAUGCCAAGUUUAGUGGCUUGCCACUUCAAAUACCAGGGAGCUUGAUGGAAGCUACUGCCUGCAGCUGGCUAUAGUACAAAGGCUUGCCUAGGGGGACUGGAAAUCUGCCUGGAGCCAAGAGUGCUAACAGGGAAUUGCUCUGUCACGCAAGCUGGAGUGCAGUGGUGCCAUCUCGGCUCACUGUGACCUCUGCCUCCUGGGCUCAAGCCAUCCUCCCACCUCAGCCCUUCAAGUAGCUGGGAUUACAGGUUGUAAAAACCCCAUCAGGGCAGUGACUGAGUGUGUGUCACUGUGUGCAGCAUCCCCAGAACCUAAUACCAUGACUGCAUGGAACAAGCACCCGGAUAUAGGAAUGAAGGACGCUACUGGUGGCCCCGUCCAGUUCUGAGAAAAUGCUGCCACAAGCUACAAGAGAAAUCUGCUUCUCUGAAGCCUUUAAAGAUUUGGUUACUUUUUCAAAAUGAAUAUUCUUUAAUACACAAUUUCAAUAAUUUCUGAAAUGAGGAUAAUGGCUGGGUUUUUUUUUUUUUUUUUUUUUUUGAGAUGGAGUCUCGCUGUCACCCAGGCUGGAGUGCAGUGGUGCAAUCUCAGCUCACUGCAACCUCUGCCCCCCGGGUUCAAGCAAUUCUCGUGCCUCAGCCUCCUGAGUAGCUGGGAUUACAGGUGCCCGCCACCACGACUGGCUAAUUUUUUUAUUUUUAGUAGAGACGGAGUUUCACCAUCCAUGUUGGCCAGGGAGGUCUUGAACUCCUGACCUCAAGUGAUCCGCCUAUGGCUGGCUUUUUAUAAUAGUUAAGAAUACUGCUCCUGGAGUCAGAGGGUCUGGUUCUCAUCCUCUGAUUUUGAUCACAACUUGCUGCAUGAUGAUGAUCAAGUGUUUGAACUUCCCAGUGCAUCCAUUUCCUCCUGGGUAAAGUGGGGCUAAUACCGUUAAAGCAAUGAUGUAAAAAUUAAAUGAGCUAACACAAGUGAGCGUUCAGAAUUGCAUCUAGUGCAUGGGAAUCCCUCAUAAGUAUUAGCUAUUAUUAUCAGUGUGCUAUCAGCUUGGAACUCAUGUAGUUCUGCUACAGAUUUGUAUUGUUCCUGAAAACAGAAUAUGAGACCAAAUUGAGGCCAGGUGUAAAGGCAUCUGGACCUUAUAUCCCUGCUGUCUAGUUUCUUCAAGAGGCCAGAGAGAACCUCCCUCAACUCCAGCCUACCAAGUGUCAUUUAUUUUAAUGCAGUGUGCCCCCAGUCUUAGGAAAUGGAAUUCUUCAUCUUCCAAGGCCUCUGGCUGAGACUGGAGACUUGUGCCUGCUCCACUGCUUGGCUGGAUUAGAUGCCCUAGAAAGAUACUUUUAACUCAGAGAAACUGUGACUCCAUGAAAGGGUCAGAUCCCACCAAAAGUCAUCCCAGUUCUCCAUCAGUUUCUCUCUCCACUCCACCUCCCCCAGCCCAUCCUCCGUCUGGGCUCCAGGGCUCUUUCCUUCUGUGUUCCCACAGGAUGGUGCCUGCUUUUACCCACCCUCUAGACUUUGCCCCAGUCACCUCAAACAGCCGAGGGUCCAAAUUUAGUAAUAGAAAUUCACUUCUCUAACCACUUUACAAAAACAUUAACUCAUAACUCACGGAAACCCAAUGAAGUCGGUGCUGGUGGCACCUCCAUUUUACAGAUGAUGAAACCGAGGAGAGGAGGGAGGUUGAAUAACUUGGCCCAAGGUCACUUGCUGAAAAGUGGCAGAGCUAGGAUUCACUGCCUCUGGUUCACUGCCUUGAAAGGAAGGAAAGUCUCCCCACUCCCACCACUGGGGAACUCUUCUUUAACUUUCUCCACAGUAUCAUUGGUCCGAUAAAUGAGAGGCAAGGAGAGAAACAAAGAUGGAUGUAUGUAUAAACUUAGGCAAGCAUGGAGAGCCAUGGUGAUGUGGUUAAGUGUUAGUUCUUGAGCUGAAUUGCACUGGUUAGUGUCCUGGAUUUUGAAUGUACUAACCCUGG
RNAcentral lists this long non-coding RNA (2068 nucleotides) under Homo sapiens (human). RNAcentral's name for it is "HSALNT0294588". The record is from RNAcentral. Lineage: Eukaryota; Metazoa; Chordata; Mammalia; Primates; Hominidae.